This is an RNA transcript of Lolium perenne, 3549 nucleotides long. It is a transcript of the gene named pirin-like protein, with no coding region annotated. The record is from RefSeq and is a predicted model, not a curated record. Lineage: Eukaryota; Viridiplantae; Streptophyta; Magnoliopsida; Poales; Poaceae.
GUGCUAACAUGGGCCGCUCCAACACCUUUCGUCCUGCCCCGCUAGGUUUCUCAACCCUGGAACACACCCCUCCCCUAUCAUGCCGCCAAACACGCAGGCGACGGAAUCAUCGGCACCUUCGUUCCCCUUCGUCGUCGUGCUUCCCGAAAAACCGCACAUCGCCUGCGGUCCCUCUCCCAUCUGCACGCCGCCCCUCUCCCAGAGCUCGUUGGCCCAGAUCGAGGCCCCUCCCAGGUCUGUGCGCCGCCGGCAGCCCGCCCGUGUGCGUGCUCUACGCCGUCCCCGACCUCGAGAUCUCAUCGCCCACGAGACGACUCCAGGACCCCGGGUUCGUCAGCAGGCUUGUGUUGAGGCGCCGCCGCUGGCGAGGCCUUCGGUCUUUCCCCUUCGUGCCGCGAGACCAUGGCCGUCGUCGUCGCUCCGACGGAGACAGCUCUGCCCGCGGCGGACGGCUCUACAGAAAAAGAGGAGUAGUGCCGCAUGUCCAAGAGAAAGAUGCCCCACGCCUCAGGCUCUUGCCUCCUGCCGCAGGAAAUUGGUUAUGCGAGUCUGCCACAAGGAGGUCAAGAAGCUGCCUCCACCUCUCCUAGGUCAAAGCCAAUACUAUCAACAUAGCAGCACUGGCAGCCCAUCAGGAUCUUGCUUGCUCCCUCCCAGACGUUAAGAAUUUAUAUCUGCAACUCAUUGUCGUGAACCUUCUAGACAGAAAUUACAUCUGACUCUUCCUUUCCAUUGACCUAAGGUGAUUGGGUAUUGUUUAUGUCUUUAUUUAUGAAGUGAAUAAGAGAAAGUUUUGGAUUUAUAUAUGCUAAAAUGCUUUAGAAGUUUAGCUCUUCUGCAUGUUCUGUUCUACCCUGCUCUGCUGCGUCAGGAGUUGCCUGCAAGGUGUUUCCUGAAAUGAUUUAGCUAUUCUUCUCUGAAGCAUGGGGCCUUCACUCAGCAGGAUUUCUUCAGGAAACAAGCGCACCAUCAGAACAGUACAUUGGAUGGUGGUGGGCAACGACAUCGUGCACUCAGAGAUGCCGGUGUGAAGAAGAGCCCGCAGGUCUGGAUCAACCUCGCCUCCAAGGGCAAGAGCAAGCCAAUAUACCAGGAGCUGUACAGGAAGUACAUAAGACAGGCCUCGAAGGAUGGUGUCAACAUCCGCAUCAUUGCCGGUGAGACCUCUGGAUGAGGUGUAGGGAGAGCAUGGUGAUGGUGUAGGGAUGCAAUGCUGCUUCAAGUUUUUGCUCUUUUCAUGCUUGCAUCUGAGGGACAUCAGAUGAGUGAAAAUGAAUGGCAGCGAUAUGAAAAGGAAUGAACAUAUUGUCAAAAGAGCACAUCUUGACUAGGCCAUUUUGCCGCUGAAAAACAGAUAGACCACCAUGUAUCUUCACUGAGGGUUGCAGCCAUCGAUGGAGAUCAAGGUUCCAAGGAGACUUCCACCGAGAGGGUGGAGCUAUUGGUGACAUGAAAGAGUGGAAGGUAGUUUUAGUAUUCAUUAGUCUGCCAACAAGUAGUAUUAAUUUUUAUUUGUCCUGCUAUUAGUAGCUCCCUUUUUUAUAUCUGCAAGUAGGUACUGCCGAAGAUUGCUAUGAUGCAAUCUAUUAAAGAACUUUCUAGAGAUGCUUUCACAGCUCAUCAUGUAGAUUCAAUAUCAGAAGAGGAUCUAAUUUGGCCACUGCUAUGUUGAAUAUGCUUUGGAUUGGUAAGUAUAUAUUUUGCACAUUAUGAGAAAAGGAUGUGGGAUGACAAUUCCCAUUUUGGUCAGGACACUUUGUGUUUCUCUUAUCAGUUCCUAUUGUUUGGUUAAAUUUCAUGUUUGGUUGCGCCAACUCCACUAUUUCCUAUCUCCAGUGUGAAAAGUUCUUAUCAUUUGAGGUAUCCGAAGUUCGGAAUCUAAAUUCCUAACAAGUUUUCAACAAUGUUCUCUAUUUGAUUUUUGCUGAUGUGAUGCUUAAUCAGAUUAUUUGGCGUAUUUUUUCCUAUUUCCACCGUAUGUAUUCACCAAAGAGGAAACUUUCAUUGCAGCUCAGUUUUACUAUAGGAUAUAUAUCAUUCAGUUUUAGCUAAGGAGGACCUCAAGUGAGCAAAGUUAAGCAUGAGAAAGAAGCUAGGAAGGAGUAACGAAGUCAUCAAAAAAGCCAUUUUAGCCUUUGGAAUACAAAAAAACUAAAUGCUCUUUUAUUGGGUCCUACUUAUACAUCACGAGUGACCUCAAUGAGCCAGGAUGGCUGCACAGUCCAUAUCAGAAGGUGAUAGCAAACUGGUGGUUGAGAAUUGGUUUCUGCUUCCCUGGGUUGCAAUAUCAUUCUUGUUAUUAUUCCCGAAUGCCACUGGCAAAGAUGGUACCAAGAUCAGGGUCAAAAUUUCUUUUAUCGGGGUAAAAAGAUGGUACAAAGCUCAUCAAAGGGACCAAGGUUCAUAAGGGUGCAAUUGUUGAACUUGAUAGUACUACCAUCGGUUCCUAAGGAUGUAGUGCCCCCGAUUCAGUCUAAUAUAUCCCAGGUGUUAUCUGUCCCUAAGGAUCAUACUACACUGGCUAAUAAGGCAUUAAAGGUUGCGGAGUAUAAGUGUAAAACCAUCUCCACUAUCCACUGCUCUGGUUGUGCGUAUUAUGGCCAUCUGGUCAAGGAUUGUUAUAGGACUGCAUUAGUGAAGAAAAAGAAGUGGAUUCCUAAGCGGCGUGAUCCUAUGCACAUUUAGCAACAACAACAUCUUGGUCCCCAACAGGAGCAACAUAAUCAUAUUUUGGCUUUUCAGUUGUUGCCUGAUACUGUGGAUCAUUCAACGCUGGGAGAUUUGAGUAUUGUCAUUGUGACUGAAACAAGUUCGGACUCUAAGUUCAUGGAUGCUAUCGAUUCAUUAGUGCUACAAGCUGAUGCUACCGAGUUGGAGGAGUUAGGUUUUCGCAUUGAUUAUGAUAAUGGCUGGAGUCUGAAUAUUUGGCUGCCACACAAAAAAAUCUUGGGCUGAAACUCCAGGGGCUUUUGUUCUUACAGAGCAUGGGGAUCUGGACAUGGAGCAGGAAAAUGAGGUUCUUGAACUUGCAAUUGCCAAGGGGACUGGAAGAGGUGCUUCUGUGUGAUGUUGGGCCCGAUCUUCUGAGCUUGGGUUUUAUCGCCGAGGAAGCGUCUGGGUCAAUUUCUGUUGAUGGCUCUCAAGGUUCAGUUUCUGAAGCUGAUUCUGGGGUGGUGUCUGCAGUUCAGAGAUGUGGGCGCUCACGGACUAGCAAGGCGGAGACACCCUUGGUGGUACUCACAGGUGAAGAGGUGUACCCGCAACAAUAAGGAAGGCUACCUCGAACAAGUUCUUCCCAAUCAGCCGCCACGGUCGCAAGAAGUCCAAGGUUCCAAAAGCCUCCCCGCCUGAAGUUAUGCAGAUUGAGGAGAUGCAGCUUAUCGGCGUUGAAAAAUGCCAUAUCGAUCCGGCUGAGCUGACCGCUGAUCCCCUGAUGCAAGGUCGUGAUGACCAGUAGUUUCUCUUUUCUGUAAUAAUAUUGCUUAGACCUUGUUACUUUUGAGUUUGCAAUGAACCGUGAUCGUGUGUGAAAUAUCUUAAGUUGGAAUA